CUACGGGCCGCUGCAGUGGGGAAUAUUGCACAAUGGAGGAAACUCUGAUGCAGCCAUGCCGCGUGAGUGAAGAAGGCCCUAGGGUUGUAAAACUCUUUCAAUAAUGAAGAUAAUGACGGUAAUUAUAGAAGAAGCACCGGCUAACUCCGUGCCAGCAGCCGCGGUAAUACGGAGGGUGCUAGCGUUAUUCGGAAUCACUGGGCGUAAAGAGCGCGUAGGCGGUUAGUAUAGUUGGGAGUGAAAGCCCGGGGCUCAACCUCGGAACUGCUCUCAAAACUCACCAACUAGAAAUCGGUAGAGGAUAGUGGAAUUCCUAGUGUAGAGGUGAAAUUCGUAGAUAUUAGGAGGAACACCAGUGGCGAAGGCGACUGUCUGGACCGAUAUUGACGCUAAGGCGCGAAAGCGUGGGGAGCGAACGGAUUAGAUACCCCUGUAGUC
This 438-nucleotide ribosomal RNA is filed under the name uncultured bacterium. Its description in RNAcentral is "partial 16S ribosomal RNA". It matches the Rfam family "Bacterial small subunit ribosomal RNA", at positions 339 to 795 of the family's 1533-position model. The record is from RNAcentral.